Molecule: long non-coding RNA, 804 nt
Organism: Oreochromis aureus
Lineage: Eukaryota; Metazoa; Chordata; Actinopteri; Cichliformes; Cichlidae
Exons: 3
Source: RefSeq, a predicted model, not a curated record
UACUUUUUAAGACACCUCUGCCUAACUACAGUGAACUAACCUAAUAAUAUGCUCUGCACAUUAUCACAGUUUAGCGCGUUGGGUUGUGUUUUUAAAUCAAUUGUUACGUUUUCAAAGCUUUUUAAUGCGACAGGUGCGAUAGCCGACACCACACCUUCACCUGACGUACAACGUGACGUAUGACGCACAUGUAGCCCAGAUGGAAAAAACACAUUUACACCAAUGAUAAAGAAAGAGAGUGUUUAUUCUCUUUAUUUGAACUGUCCACAUCAACAGAACGUCAUAUUUCCUAUGACCAUUGAAUGCACCUCUCAGUUCACCCCACGUGACGGCACCUAGCUCAGCGACCAAUCAGAGCCUACGCAGGCCGCACUGACCCUGUCAGCCAGGAAGUGAGGUGAAGGUGCAUGGUGCUCCCGGGUUUUUCUCAUCUCAGCUAGAGGAGUGGAGGCAUCUGCUACUGAAACUGAGAAAUCCACGGACGAAAGAGAGGAAAAACUAAGAAUUGAGAGGAAGGAAAGCCAGCAUACUUACCUGCUGGAUGUCCGGAGUCGAGUGGCUGGAUGAAGGAGAGAAGCAACGUCGGCUAACCACUCACCUUUCAUCCGGAGAGCUGCUGCAAUUUCAACACCAGCGUGUGUUAGGCUUUUGUGAAACAGAGCAACGGUCAGGUUUUUGGAGAGGACAGAAAAGUCUGAGGACCAGGACAAAAUUCGGUCGUGAUAGAUGGCGAGCCAACCACUUUGAGGACGAUCUACCCCAAAGAAGAUACACACCCACACACUCAUACAUUUCAAUUACACU